UACGUAGGUGGCGAGCGUUGUUCGGAUUUACUGGGCGUAAAGGGUGCGCAGGCGGGAGAUUAAGUCGGCGGUGAAAUUUUGCAGCUCAACUGUAAAAGUGCCUUCGAAACUGGUUUCCUUGAGUGUAGAUGAAGUAGGCGGAAUUUGUGGUGUAGCGGUGAAAUGCAUAGAUAUCACGAGGAACUCCGAUUGCGCAGGCAGCUUACUAAACUACUACUGACGCUCAGGCACGAAGGCGUGGGGAUCAAACAGGAUUAGAUACCCU
Molecule: ribosomal RNA, 265 nt
Filed under: uncultured prokaryote
Description: partial 16S ribosomal RNA
Rfam family: Bacterial small subunit ribosomal RNA
Source: RNAcentral